Molecule: non-coding RNA, 71 nt
Organism: Myotis brandtii (Brandt's bat)
Lineage: Eukaryota; Metazoa; Chordata; Mammalia; Chiroptera; Vespertilionidae
Source: Rfam
GCCGGUUUGGCUCAGUGGAUAGAGCGUCGGUACAGCCUGAAGAGUUACAGGUUUGAUUCCUGUCAAGGGCA